UGAAUUCCAUUUGGAGGUUGCAGCCUA
Molecule: non-coding RNA, 27 nt
Filed under: Bombyx mori (domestic silkworm)
Lineage: Eukaryota; Metazoa; Arthropoda; Insecta; Lepidoptera; Bombycidae
Source: RNAcentral